This 91-nucleotide transfer RNA is filed under the name Paecilomyces variotii. RNAcentral's name for it is "Byssochlamys spectabilis tRNA". It matches the Rfam family "tRNA". Rfam says of the family: Transfer RNA (tRNA) molecules are approximately 80 nucleotides in length. Their secondary structure includes four short double-helical elements and three loops (D, anti-codon, and T loops). Further hydrogen bonds mediate the characteristic L-shaped molecular structure. tRNAs have two regions of fundamental functional importance: the anti-codon, which is responsible for specific mRNA codon recognition, and the 3' end, to which the tRNAs corresponding amino acid is attached (by aminoacyl-tRNA synthetases). tRNAs cope with the degeneracy of the genetic code in two manners: having more than one tRNA (with a specific anti-codon) for a particular amino acid; and 'wobble' base-pairing, i.e. permitting non-standard base-pairing at the 3rd anti-codon position. The record is from Rfam by way of RNAcentral. Lineage: Eukaryota; Fungi; Ascomycota; Eurotiomycetes; Eurotiales; Thermoascaceae.
GGGGCGGUGGCGUAGUUGGGAGCGCGUCAGACUGAAGUUCACUUCAGCCAAGCAAAUCUGAAGGUCACCGGUUCGAUCCCGGUUCACCCCA